This 71-nucleotide transfer RNA is filed under the name Stegodyphus mimosarum. It matches the Rfam family "tRNA". From Rfam's summary of the family: Transfer RNA (tRNA) molecules are approximately 80 nucleotides in length. Their secondary structure includes four short double-helical elements and three loops (D, anti-codon, and T loops). The record is from Rfam by way of RNAcentral. Lineage: Eukaryota; Metazoa; Arthropoda; Arachnida; Araneae; Eresidae.
ACCUUCGUCGUGUAAGCUUAGCACACUUGGCUUGUAUUCGGGAGGUCCAGGUUCAAGGCCCGGCGAAAGUA